Molecule: ribosomal RNA, 423 nt
Filed under: uncultured prokaryote
Description: bacterial SSU rRNA
Rfam family: Bacterial small subunit ribosomal RNA
Source: RNAcentral
UGGGGAAUCUUGGACAAUGGGGGCAACCCUGAUCCAGCGACGCCGCGUGGGUGGUAAGGCCUUCGGGUUGUAAAGCCCUUUCACCGGGGAAGAUGAUGACAUUACCCGGAGAAGCAGCGCCGGCUAACUCCGUGCCAGCAGCCGUGGUAAGACGGAGGGCGCUAGCGUUGUUCGGAAUCACUGGGCGUAAAGGGCGCGUAGGCGGCUGUUUACGUCGAGGGUGAAAGCCCGGGGCUCAACCCCGGAACGGCCUUCGAGACUGGGCAGCUCGAGACCGGAAGAGGAGAGUGGAAUACCCAGGGUAGAGGUGAUAUUCGUAGAUAUUGGGUGGAACACCAGUGGCGAAAGCGGCUCUCUGGUCCGGAUCUGACGCUGAGGCGCGAAAGCGUGGGGAGCAAACAGGGUUAGAUACCCGUGUAGUCC